Molecule: non-coding RNA, 150 nt
Filed under: pig gut metagenome
Description: Lysine riboswitch
Rfam family: Lysine riboswitch aptamer
About the family: Riboswitches are metabolite binding domains within certain messenger RNAs that serve as precision sensors for their corresponding targets. Allosteric rearrangement of mRNA structure is mediated by ligand binding, and this results in modulation of gene expression.
Source: RNAcentral
UAGGGUAGAGGCGCGGGCCUUAUCAGUACUGCCGGGGAGAUUCAGGAGAUUGUGGAACCGGCAGAAAAGGAAGUCCCGCCGAAGUCUGUGUUUGUCCUGCGAAUACAGGCUGGGGUUGUAUCGAACAGGUACAGGACUGUCAGCGAUUGU